Molecule: ribosomal RNA, 745 nt
Filed under: Ramularia endophylla
Lineage: Eukaryota; Fungi; Ascomycota; Dothideomycetes; Mycosphaerellales; Mycosphaerellaceae
Description: eukaryotic LSU rRNA
Rfam family: Eukaryotic large subunit ribosomal RNA
Source: RNAcentral
GAAGCGGCAACAGCUCAAAUUUGAAAUCUGGCGCAAGCCCGAGUUGUAAUUUGUAGAGGAUGCUUCUAGGUAGCGACCGGUCUAAGUUCCUUGGAACAGGACGUCAUAGAGGGUGAGAAUCCCGUAUGUGACUGGCCCGCACCUUCUACGUAGCUCCUUCGACGAGUCGAGUUGUUUGGGAAUGCAGCUCUAAAUGGGAGGUAAAUUUCUUCUAAAGCUAAAUACCGGCCAGAGACCGAUAGCGCACAAGUAGAGUGAUCGAAAGAUGAAAAGCACUUUGGAAAGAGAGUUAAAAAGCACGUGAAAUUGUUGAAAGGGAAGCGCUCACAACCAGACUUCUAGGCAGUGUUCCGCCGGUCUUUUGACCGGUCUACUCUCUGUCUCGAGGCCAACAUCAUCUGGGACCGCCGGAUAAGACCUUAGGAAUGUAGCUCCCCUCGGGGAGUGUUAUAGCCUCUGGUGAUGCGGCGCGUCUCGGGUGAGGUCCGCGCUUCGGCAAGGAUGUUGGCGUAAUGGUUGUCAGCGGCCCGUCUUGAAACACGGACCAAGGAGUCUAACAUCUAUGCGAGUGUUCGGGUGUCAAACCCCUACGCGUAAUGAAAGUGAACGGAGGUGGGAAGCGUAAGCUGCACCAUCGACCGAUCCUGAUGUCCUCGGAUGGAUUUGAGUAAGAGCAUAGCUGUUGGGACCCGAAAGAUGGUGAACUAUGCCUGAAUAGGGUGAAGCCAGAGGAAACUCUGGUGGA